This 807-nucleotide ribosomal RNA is filed under the name Streptomyces sp. RNAcentral's name for it is "bacterial SSU rRNA". It matches the Rfam family "Bacterial small subunit ribosomal RNA", at positions 63 to 883 of the family's 1533-position model. Lineage: Bacteria; Bacillati; Actinomycetota; Actinomycetes; Kitasatosporales; Streptomycetaceae. The record is from RNAcentral.
CGAACGAUGAACCUCCUUCGGGAGGGGAUUAGUGGCGAACGGGUGAGUAACACGUGGGCAAUCUGCCCUUCACUCUGGGACAAGCCCUGGAAACGGGGUCUAAUACCGGAUACGAGUUCGGGAGGCAUCUCCUGGACUGGAAAGCUCCGGCGGUGAAGGAUGAGCCCGCGGCCUAUCAGCUUGUUGGUGGGGUAACGGCCCACCAAGGCGACGACGGGUAGCCGGCCUGAGAGGGCGACCGGCCACACUGGGACUGAGACACGGCCCAGACUCCUACGGGAGGCAGCAGUGGGGAAUAUUGCACAAUGGGCGAAAGCCUGAUGCAGCGACGCCGCGUGAGGGAUGACGGCCUUCGGGUUGUAAACCUCUUUCAGCAGGGAAGAAGCGAAAGUGACGGUACCUGCAGAAGAAGCGCCGGCUAACUACGUGCCAGCAGCCGCGGUAAUACGUAGGGCGCAAGCGUUGUCCGGAAUUAUUGGGCGUAAAGAGCUCGUAGGCGGCUUGUCACGUCGGGUGUGAAAGCCCGGGGCUUAACCCCGGGUCUGCAUCCGAUACGGGCAGGCUAGAGUGUGGUAGGGGAGAUCGGAAUUCCUGGUGUAGCGGUGAAAUGCGCAGAUAUCAGGAGGAACACCGGUGGCGAAGGCGGAUCUCUGGGCCAUUACUGACGCUGAGGAGCGAAAGCGUGGGGAGCGAACAGGAUUAGAUACCCUGGUAGUCCACGCCGUAAACGUUGGGAACUAGGUGUUGGCGACAUUCCACGUCGUCGGUGCCGCAGCUAACGCAUUAAGUUCCCCGCCUGGGGAGUAC